RNAcentral lists this ribosomal RNA (2160 nucleotides) under Triticum aestivum (bread wheat). RNAcentral's name for it is "partial small subunit ribosomal RNA". The record is from RNAcentral. Lineage: Eukaryota; Viridiplantae; Streptophyta; Magnoliopsida; Poales; Poaceae.
AUGCUUAGUCAAGUGAGUUCCAUUCACCCCGAAAAAAAAAAACAAGUGAGUUCCAUUCGAAGUAACGUAACAACAGGAGCACCAUCUUCAAAACUUCUCGAGUCGAUUAAUCAGCUGGCACCAAGUACCAACCAAGCCAAUGUGCCAACACUCAUGCUCAAAAAAAAAAAAAUGUGCCAACACUCCAACACCCUGCUGCACUUCCUCCGCCACGUCUCCUUCCCGCCGGAUGCGCACCUCCUGCCGUCCGCGCUCAAGUCAUGCCACGCGCAGCCCCUCGCCCGCGCGCUCCACGCGGCCGCCGCGGUCUCCGGCCUUGCGGAGGAUCCCUUCGUCGCCUCCUCGCUCCUCCACACCUACAUCCGCCUCGGAGCCACCAGCGCUGCCCGCGUUGUGUUCGAAAGAAUGCCGGACAAGAGUGUCGUGGGCUGGAGCGCACUCAUCGCCGGUUACUCUGCACGAGGUGACGCCGAGGUCGCGUGGGGCCUUCUGGAGCGGAUGCGAAGCGCUGGGGUCGAGCCAAAUGUGAUCACCUGGAAUGGACUGGUUUCCGGGCUGAACCGGAGCGGCAGCGCCCUCGACGCUGUCAAGGCACUUGUGAGGAUGCACGGGGAAGGGUUCUUGCCAGACGCCACCGGUGUCUCGUGUGCACUCUCUGCGGUCGGGGAUGUGAAAGAGGUCUCGGUUGGCGAGCAGCUGCAUGGAUAUGUGGUGAAGGCAGGGUGCAGGCUAGAUCAACAUGUGGUCACUGCGCUCAUUGACAUGUACGGCAAGUGUGGGCGUGCUGAUGAGAUUUCUCACGUGUUCUAUGAGUCCAGCCACAUGGAUGUUGCUUCCUGCAACGCUCUCGUCGCUGGGCUCUCUCGGAACGCCCAGGUCUCUGAGGCAUUGUUGUUGUUCAGCGAGUUUGUUAGCCGAGGAGUCGAGUUGAAUGUUGUGUCCUGGACCUCGAUUGUUGCCUGCUGUGUGCAGAAUGGGAAAGAUUUGGAAGCGGUUGAUCUUUUCAGGAAGAUGCAGUCAAAAGGGAUCGAGCCGAAUUCAGUCACGAUACCCUGCGUACUGCCAGCAUUUGCCAAUGUUGCUGCUCUUAUGCAUGGCCGGUCAGCACACUGUUUUUCUCUUAGGAAAGGAUUUCUUCAUGACGUUUACGUUGGCAGUGCGUUGGUGGACAUGUAUGCAAAGUGUGGCAAGGUCAGGUAUGCGAGGACGAUCUUCGAUGCAAUUCCGUCUAAAAAUACGGUUUCGUGGAAUGCGAUUAUUGGUGGCUAUGCAAUGCAUGGGGAGGCUGCAAAUGCUGUGCAGUUGUUCUGUUUGAUGCAGAAGUGCAAACAGAAGCCCGACCUAGUCACAUUUACCUGUGUCAUUAGUGCCUGUGGCCAAGCUGGCCUGACAGAGGAGGGGCGUCACUACUUCAAUGAAAUGCAGCAUAGUCAUGGCAUUUCCCCUAGGAUGGAGCAUUAUGCAUGUAUGGUUACUCUGUUAGGACGGGCUGGCAAGCUUGAUGAGGCAUACGAUCUCAUAAAUGAGAUGCCAUUUGAGCCAGAUGGUUGUAUUUGGGGGUCCUUGCUGGGCUCUUGCAGGGUUUAUGGAAAUGUUUUCCUAGCCGAAGUCGCAGCAGAAAAGCUAUUUGAACUAGAGCCAGAAAAUACCGGCAACUAUGUCCUGCUUUCCAACAUUUAUGCGUCUAAAAAAAUGUGGGACGGGGUAAACAGAGUGAGGGAUCAGAUGAAGAAUAUGGGAUUGAAGAAAGAAAAGGGUUGCAGUUGGAUAGAGAUCAAGAACAAGGUGCACAUGUUGUCAGCUGGUGACAGUUCACACCCCAUGAUGACUGCAAUAACGGAGAAACUAAAGCAGCUUACCAUUGAGAUGAGCAGGCUGGGCUUUGCACCGAGCACAGAUUUUGUCCUGCAUGAUGUGGAAGAACAAGAAAAGGACGAUAUCCUUGCUGUGCACAGUGAAAAGCUGGCUGUUGCAUUGGGCCUCAUAAGCACGAGCCCAGGAACACCCCUCCGGGUGAUAAAGAACCUCCGGAUUUGUGGCGAUUGCCACGAAGCAAUGAAGUUCAUAUCAUGUUUUGAGGGGAGGGAGAUAUCUGUUAGAGACACUAACAGGUUUCAUCACUUCAAGGAUGGGAAAUGUUCUUGUGGGGAUUACUGGUGA